Molecule: ribosomal RNA, 484 nt
Filed under: uncultured Undibacterium sp.
Lineage: Bacteria; Pseudomonadati; Pseudomonadota; Betaproteobacteria; Burkholderiales; Oxalobacteraceae
Description: bacterial SSU rRNA
Rfam family: Bacterial small subunit ribosomal RNA
Source: RNAcentral
AAACUACAAAGGAAUUGACGGGACCCGCACAAGCGGUGGAUGAUGUGGAUUAAUUCGAUGCAACGCGAAAACCUUACCUACCCUUGACAUGUCCGGAAUCCCGAAGAGAUUUGGGAGUGCUCGCAAGAGAACCGGAACACAGGUGCUGCAUGGCUGUCGUCAGCUCGUGUCGUGAGAUGUUGGGUUAAGUCCCGCAACGAGCGCAACCCUUGUCAUUAGUUGCCAUCAUUGGUUGGGCACUCUAAUGAGACUGCCGGUGACAAACCGGAGGAAGGUGGGGAUGACGUCAAGUCCUCAUGGCCCUUAUAGGUGGGGCUACACACGUCAUACAAUGGCUGGUACAAAGGGUUGCCAACCCGCGAGGGGGAGCCAAUCCCAUAAAGCCAGUCGUAGUCCGGAUCGUAGUCUGCAACUCGACUACGUGAAGUCGGAAUCGCUAGUAAUCGUGGAUCAGAAUGUCACGGUGAAUACGUUCCCGGGUCUU